UUCUCCACAUCCAAGAACGUCAAGGACGUGAGAUUUCCGAGGCCGUGCAGAUUGAUUAUACUUGCUCCAUCUGUUAUUUCCAAGGUUGUCAAUGAUUUGAGCUCUCCAAGGCCUCGAAUCUCGGGAACCUUGGGACAGCAAAAUAGUGUUAACUCUAUCAAGCUCUUCAGGUUGGCAAGAUCAGGCAAUGCCUCCAACAAUGGACAUUGCCGAAGAAAAAGCUUGUGUAGAGAUGAUGGAAGGACCUGCAGACUUUUCGUGU
Molecule: long non-coding RNA, 262 nt
Filed under: Linum usitatissimum (flax)
Lineage: Eukaryota; Viridiplantae; Streptophyta; Magnoliopsida; Malpighiales; Linaceae
Description: long non-coding RNA (LUSI_LNC000663)
Source: RNAcentral